GCUUUUGAAGGAAAACAGCUAUUCCUCUGGUCUUAGGACCCAGCACUUCUUGGUGCAAACCCAAGUAAAAGCU
This 73-nucleotide transfer RNA is filed under the name Otophryne sp. AMNH 101748. Its description in RNAcentral is "tRNA-Leu". Lineage: Eukaryota; Metazoa; Chordata; Amphibia; Anura; Microhylidae. The record is from RNAcentral.